GUGGGGAAUAUUGGACAAUGGGGGCAACCCUGAUCCAGCGAUGCCGCGUGUGCGAAGAAGGCCUGCGGGUUGUAAAGCACUUUGAGUGGGGAAGAAAGAGUUGAGUCGAAUAGGCUUAACAGUUGACGUUACCCACAGAACAAGCACCGGCUAACUCUGUGCCAGCAGCCGCGGUAAUACAGAGGGUGCGAGCGUUAAUCGGAAUUACUGGGCGUAAAGGGCGCGUAGGCGGAUGAUUAAGUUAGAUGUGAAAUCCCUGGGCUUAACCUGGGCACGGCAUUUAAAACUGUUCAUCUAGAGUAGAGUAGAGGGAAGUGGAAUUUCCGGUGUAGCGGUGAAAUGCGUAGAGAUCGGAAAGAACACCAGUGGCGAAGGCGGCUUCCUGGACUCAUACUGACGCUGAGGCGCGAAAGCGUGGGGAGCAAACAGGAUUAGAAACCCCGGUAGUCC
RNAcentral lists this ribosomal RNA (450 nucleotides) under uncultured bacterium. RNAcentral's name for it is "bacterial SSU rRNA". It matches the Rfam family "Bacterial small subunit ribosomal RNA", at positions 354 to 796 of the family's 1533-position model. The record is from RNAcentral.